GGUUAAGCAAUAAGAGCAUAGGGUGAAUGCCUAGGCACUGAGAGCCGAAGAAAGACGUGAUAAGCUGCGAAAAGCUGCGGGGAUUGGCAAAUACGAUUUGAUCCGCAGAUAUCUGAAUGGGGAAACCCACUAGAGAAAAGCUCUAGUACUGUACAGCCAAUACAUAACUGUACAGAGGGAACCCGCUGAACUGAAACAUCUAAGUAGGCGGAGGAAGAGAAAACAACAGUGAUUCCGAAAGUAGUGGCGAGCGAAAUCGGAAGAGCCCAAACCAAGGUGCGUGCACCUUGGGGUUCGGACCGCAUUUAGUUCCGUAAGUGAGUGGAAGACGAUGGAAAGCGUUGCCAUAGAGGGUGAAAGCCCCUUACACGAAGCGUAAAGGAAUGAGCGGAAUCCAGAGUACUGUCAGACACGUGGAACCUGGCAGGAAUACGGGGGGACCACCCCCUAAGGCUAAAUACUACUCAGUGACCGAUAGCGAUUAGUACUGUGAAGGAAAGGUGAAAAGGACCCCGGGAGGGGAGUGAAAGAGAACCUGAAACCCUGUGUUUACAAACUGUGGAACAGCGCAAGCUGAACCGCGUACUUUUUGUAGAACGGUCCGGCGAGUUAUAGUUACUGGCAAGGUUAAGGACUUAAGGUCCGGAGCCGAAGCGAGAGCGAGUCUGAAUAGGGCGCAAAGUCAGUAGAUAUAGACCCGAAACCGGGUGACCUAUCCAUGUCCAGGAUGAAGCUAAAGUAAAAUUUGGUGGAGGUCCGAACGCACAUCCGUUGAAAAGGGUGGCGAUGAGGUGUGGAUAGCGGAGAAAUUCCAAUCGAACCCGGAGAUAGCUGGUUCUCCUCGAAAUAGCUUUAGGGCUAGCCUCAUGGAGAGUCUAACGCAGGUAGAGCACUGAAUUCUUGAGGGGGCGUCAAAGUCUACCAAUAGAUAUCAAACUCCGAAUGGCGUAUAGAUAUACAUGGGAGUCAGACUGCGGGAUAUAAAUUCCGUAGUCAAAAGGGAAACAGCCCAGAUCUACAGCUAAGGUCCCAAAGUACAUGUUAAGUGGUAAAGGAUGUGGGAUUUCAUAGACAACUAGGAUGUUGGCUUAGAAGCAGCCACACAUUCAAAGAGUGCGUAAUAGCUCACUAGUCGAGAGGUCCUGCGCCGAAAAUUAACGGGGCUAAAACAUGACACCGAAGCUUAGGGAUGUAGCAAUACAUCGGUAGAGGAGCAUUGAAAACACGUAGAAGCGGUACCGGAAGGAGCCGUGGAGAGUUUUGAAGAGAGAAUGCCGGAAUGAGUAGCGAGAUGGAGGUGAGAAUCCUCCAGGCCGAAUAUCUAAGGUUUCCAGGGUAAAGCUGAUCUGCCCUGGGUAAGUCGGGGCCUAAGGCGAGGCUGAGAAGCGUAGUCGAUGGACAACUGGUGUAGAUUCCAGUACCUUACUAAAUCAGAAAUGUGGGGACACAUGGAGAAAGAGAGAGCCGGGAAUGAGAAGACCGGUGCAAGGGAGGUAGGAGUGUAGUAGGAAAAACCGCUAUACAAUCUGAAGACCUGAUGCGGAUCGAAAAGAAGUAGAGAAGCUCUUGGACUCUGUGGCGAGAAAAGCCGCUAUUGUGUUUAGUAAGCCCGUACCGCAAACCGACACAGGUAGAUGAGGAGAGAAUCCUAAGGCCGGCGGGAGAAGCAUUGUUAAGGAACUCGGCAAAAUGACCCCGUAACUUCGGGAGAAGGGGUGCCCAGGCAACUGGGCCGCAGAGAAAAGGCUCAAGCAACUGUUUAGCAAAAACACAGGUCUAUGCGAAACCGUAAGGUAAAGUAUAUGGGCUGACGCCUGCCCGGUGCUGGAAGGUUAAGAGGAGAGGUUAGAGCAAUCGAAGCUUUGAAUUGAAGCCCCAGUAAACGGCGGCCGUAACUAUAACGGUCCUAAGGUAGCGAAAUUCCUUGUCGGGUAAGUUCCGACCCGCACGAAAGGCGUAAUGAUUUGAGCGCUGUCUCAACAAUGCACCCGGUGAAAUUGAAGUGCCAGUGAAGAUGCUGGUUACCCGCGCCAGGACGGAAAGACCCCAUGGAGCUUUACUCCAGCUUGAUACUGGGAUUCGGUAAUGUAUGCACAGGAUAGGUGGGAGACGAAGAAGAUAGAACUUCGGUUUUAUCAGAGUCGCUGUUGGGAUACCACCCUUAUGUUAUUGGAUUUCUAACCUUAGGCCGUAA
RNAcentral lists this ribosomal RNA (2194 nucleotides) under Oribacterium sinus. RNAcentral's name for it is "23S ribosomal RNA". It matches the Rfam family "Bacterial large subunit ribosomal RNA", at positions 1 to 2238 of the family's 2925-position model. Lineage: Bacteria; Bacillati; Bacillota; Clostridia; Lachnospirales; Lachnospiraceae. The record is from RNAcentral.